UACAGAGGGGGCAAGCGUUGUUCGGAAUUACUGGGCGUAAAGGGCGCGUAGGCGGCCUUCUAAGUCGAACGUGAAAUCCCCGGGCUCAACCCGGGAACUGCGUCCGAUACUGGAAGGCUUGAAUCCGGGAGAGGGAUGUGGAAUUCCAGGUGUAGCGGUGAAAUUCGUAGAUAUUCGGAGGAACACCAGUGGCGAAGGCGGCUCACUGGCUCGAUACUGACGCUGAGGUGCGAAAGCGUGGGGAGCAAACAGG
This 253-nucleotide ribosomal RNA is filed under the name uncultured bacterium. RNAcentral describes it as "partial 16S ribosomal RNA". It matches the Rfam family "Bacterial small subunit ribosomal RNA", at positions 524 to 776 of the family's 1533-position model. The record is from RNAcentral.